CGCCGGAUUCGUGCUCAAACCGACCGCCUGACUCUGGAUCAGCAGGUUCUAGGUUCGAGCCCUAGUCCGGCAGCCA
This 76-nucleotide transfer RNA is filed under the name Chthonomonadales bacterium. Its description in RNAcentral is "tRNA-OTHER". The record is from RNAcentral. Lineage: Bacteria; Bacillati; Armatimonadota; Chthonomonadia; Chthonomonadales.